GAUGAACGCUGGCGGCGUGCCUAAUACAUGCAAGUCGAGCGAACAGACGAGGAGCUUGCUCCUCUGACGUUAGCGGCGGACGGGUGAGUAACACGUGGAUAACCUACCUAUAAGACUGGGAUAACUUCGGGAAACCGGAGCUAAUACCGGAUAAUAUAUUGAACCGCAUGGUUCAAUAGUGAAAGACGGUUUUGCUGGCACUUAUAGAUGGAUCCGCGCCGCAUUAGCUAGUUGGUAAGGUAACGGCUUACCAAGGCAACGAUGCGUAGCCGACCUGAGAGGGUGAUAGGCCACACUGGAACUGAGACACGGUCCAGACUCCUACGGGAGGCAGCAGUAGGGAAUCUUCCGCAAUGGGCGAAAGCCUGACGGAGCAACGCCGCGUGAGUGAUGAAGGUCUUCGGAUCGUAAAACUCUGUUAUUAGGGAAGAACAAAUGUGUAAGUAACUAUGCACGUCUUGACGGUACCUAAUCAGAAAGCCACGGCUAACUACGUG
RNAcentral lists this ribosomal RNA (497 nucleotides) under uncultured bacterium. Its description in RNAcentral is "partial 16S ribosomal RNA". It matches the Rfam family "Bacterial small subunit ribosomal RNA", at positions 28 to 507 of the family's 1533-position model. The record is from RNAcentral.